This 246-nucleotide unclassified non-coding RNA is filed under the name Hevea brasiliensis (rubber tree). The record is from RNAcentral. Lineage: Eukaryota; Viridiplantae; Streptophyta; Magnoliopsida; Malpighiales; Euphorbiaceae.
GAUGGUCUAGGAGAGCUAGAGUGGUAGUGGCUAACUUGGAAAGAACAGCAAAAGGAAAUUGGGGAACUGUCAAAUCUAUCAGAACAUGGAAACGCCUUGAUGAUAAACAUCUCACAGCCAUUGACAGUCAAGUUCUUUGGAGCAAGAGCUCUGUUGGUGGCGUUGAUCUAAAUCUUUGAGAAGUGAAUAGAAUAAGAUCUGCUCUACUAAGAGAAUCGUAGCACGUGCGCAUCCCAAUUGACAAAG